This 3433-nucleotide ribosomal RNA is filed under the name Lepocinclis tripteris. RNAcentral's name for it is "partial large subunit ribosomal RNA". It matches the Rfam family "Eukaryotic large subunit ribosomal RNA", at positions 54 to 2421 of the family's 3401-position model. Lineage: Eukaryota; Euglenozoa; Euglenophyceae; Euglenales; Phacaceae. The record is from RNAcentral.
AGGAAUCCCAAGCAACUGCGAUUGCUUCAGUAACGGCGAGUGAACUGGCAUUGACUCAUGGCUCAACCUGAAUGAGAUUCCCUUCCCUGCACUGCCCUUCAGCUGUCUGGGGCAGGUUGCGGACGGCUUCUGUGGGUUUCACCAGAUGCUGUGGGCUUUGGAGCAGGCGGCAGUGUCAGGUUGACUGUGGCACCAGGAAGUGACCUGGAAUGGUCCACAACAGAGGGAUAUUGUCCCGUACCCCUGUGCGUGUCCACAGUUGCCUGGUGAUUGCUGUUUGUAUCCACGAGUAGAGUGGCUUGGGACUGCAGUUUGAAGUGCGGGGUGUAUCCACCGCAAGGAGGAAUACCAACAUGGAACCGCUAGCGCACAAGUAGAGUGAUUGAAGGGUGCAAAGGACUUUGCAAAGAGGGUUCAAAGUCCCUGAAGCCUCGGCAGGAUCGGCGGUGAGUGGUGCUGUGGUUUCUGGUCCUGGACCACACCCCACUUGCCAGCACAAACCAUCUGGAUCUGUCCUGUGGUCCUGUGUCUGGCUGUGGUGUGAUGGGUCCAGACCACCAUCCCAAGCAACCUUGGGCCAGCCCGACGCUGGCCACUGAGCCUAUUCCUUCAGGAGUGGAUGCAAUCGUGGCAGCAUUGCGGUGGCACCCUGCCUGCCAGGGCCUGAGGCUUUGCAGAGAUCCCAUCUGACAACACAGGGCUUGUUGUUCACACUCACACCCCCAGAAUGCAAACUCCCGUCGGAGUCUGGUGUGGUGCCAGGAGAAUGUCUUGAAGAAACGGUGCUGAGCCUGGUGCAUUCCUCGGAAUGUGCCAGUCACUGUUGCCCAGCCAUGGCCGGGGUCCUCUGGGGUGUGGUGGCUGCAUCACUCCGCUGAUGUCCACGGCAUCUCGGUGGGAUCCUCCAGAUGGUGCGCAGUGCAGAGUAUGUGCAGCGGAGCUUGGUGAGACAGUGCCACUCCCUGCCCGUCUUGAAACACGGACCAAGGAGUCUAUGGAGCUUGCAGGUUGGCUGGUGUGAUCCUGGAAAACCAGCAGUCUCUCUGUGGUGCAUGGUGAAAGCAACUUUCCCAGAUGGUGCCUCUCUGCUUCAGAAGAAGGCCGGUCUGCAUGGGACACCGGUCCGGAAGCCCAGUGGGCUCGGUUUUGAGUGCGUGCAAGGUCCAUGGGACCCGAAAGGUGGUGAACUAUACCGUUCCACGACGAAGCCGUGGGAAACUGCGGUGGAGGUCGGUCGCUGUUCUGACGUGCAAAUUGUGUAGCCUGAGUGUGGCAUAGGGGUGAAAGGCCAAUCGAGCCAUCUAGUAGCUGGUUUCCCUCGAAGUUUCCCUCAGGAUAGCUGGGCUCGAGUGCAACCCACAGACCUGAGUGGUUACGUCUGGUAAAGCAACGCACGAGAGGCAUUCCUGGGGAGGCCUCCCUCCUCAACCUAUUCUCGAACUGUGAAUGGGCGUGGCAAACCAAGGACAAGGCAUGCUUCUUCACCCUUAUGUCCGAGGCUGGCCUCCUCAGGGGGGACCCAGUUCUCUGGGCUUUCUGAGCGUGUUCGGUGGUGGCUGCUUUGUGCCUGUGGCGAGAUCGUCCCAACAACCAACCCACCAGUGUGUGUGCUGCACCUGGCUGGUGUUGACAUGUGGAUUGGAGCUCUGGGUCUUGGCACAGAGAGAUCAGACGGUGUGCGCAGAGAAGACCCUGUGGGGUGCAGAAUCUGUCCCAAACCCUUUGGCGCAAGGCUGCUGCUGUGGUGAACAAGUGUGCCUAUGUGGACCAAGAUUGGUAAGCAGUGCUGGUGAUGCGGGGUGCUCCGAGAGUGGACUUACAGAUCCCGAGUGCUGGCUCAUACACAGAUCCCACAAAGGAUGUUGCCUGCUCUGGAUAGCAGGUCGGUGGCCAUGAAGGUUGGAAUCCGCUGAGGAAUGUGUAACAACUCACCUGCCGAAGUGUGCAGCUCCGAAAAUGGAUGGUGCCCAAGUCAGUGAAGCUGAAUUUGCCUUACAGUCCGCCGCCGCUGUGGCAGCAGAGCAGAGCAUCGUUGUGUAGAAAGGACAUGGGAGAUUGCAGUGCCUGUUGGGGCCAACCCCAACUGGAGCGUCUUCUGGCGCAGAUCUUGGUUGUAGUAGCGAGUACUCCAUCAGGUGAAGAGUGGAAAAACCCUGCUGUGUGUGGUUGAGGACUGGAGUGGAGCAGGUUUCCACACCAACAGCCGUUGAAUGUGGGUCAGUCGACCGUGAGCCAAGUGGUAAAUCACUGAACAACCAAAGCUGUCAAGGCCAACACGGGGUGCCUCCCCCGUCUUCCCACUCGUGGGGGGAUGGGUGUGGGGUUGCCUCCCAAUCGGCCUCCGGUCCCUGGGGUUCACACUCCUCCCUGCACCACCCAUCACCCCCUUCCGUGUCCCUGUGGGGAUGGUGGGGGAAGGCUCUGGUCUGGAUCCAGGAGUUGGGUUCCUUGGGCUGUGGGGUCUGGCAUUGGUGACAGGAGUGGCAAACAGGCAAGCAUGUGCAACAUUCUGCUGUGAUGGGCUUGGAACGCCCUUUUGGAACGGUGGUGACGCCUCGUGAUUUGGGCAAGCAGGCUUCGGGGCAGUGCACCCCCUGAGGAGUUCUCGUUUCCUCCUGAUGCAGUCUCAUGUGGGCUAUGGAUUGGCAUGACAGAUGGGGAUGUAUGCCCUCCACUCAGCAAGGCAGCGUGCUCUUUGCGCUGAUGGUGUGGCAACUCUCUGGCAGGCCCAGAAGCAAAGCAAAAAUGGCAGACCAUAUAUGGUGGUCACUGGCUCCACUGAACAGCCUGUGGGGACAUUUGUGUUCCUGGCCCCUUGUCUUCGUACUGAAUCACCGCAGCCGGUCUCCUCGGCUGAACGCCGCUGGUCUACAGGAAUGAAUGCAGCUAAGGGAAGUCGGCAAACUAGCCGUGUACCUUCGGAAGAUGCGGUGGCUCCAGAGGCCAAGUCACCAGGCCCUGUCGCUUGCUGCCCCUCGGUGGGGGUGGGCACCCGUCGAGGGUGACUUCGGUUGCUCGAGGUGGGAAGCCUGCCCCUUGCUGGGGGUGGUGUUGGCUGGCAGGGGGCUGGGGUGCCCUCGGGUGCCUCAGUCCACCCUGGUGUCUACACAGUGGCUCACAUGGAACUGUUGCUGUGCAGGGGAAUCUGACUGUUUAAUUGAAACCCAGCUUUGUGACGGGACCAGCUGGCUGGUUCCAUGAGGUGACUUCUGCCCAGUGCUCUGAUUGUCAUGGCGAAGAGAUUCAGCCAAGCGCGGGUAAACGGCGGGAGUAACUAUGACUCUCUUAAGGUAGCCAAAUGCCUCGUCAACCAAUUAUUGACGCGCAUGAAUGGAUCAACGAGAUUCCUGCUGUCCCUAGGUGCUGUCCGGUGAACCUACAGCCAAGGGAACGGGCUUGGGCGUGUCAGCGGGGAAAGAAGAGCCUGUUGAGA